Molecule: long non-coding RNA, 815 nt
Filed under: Brassica rapa (field mustard)
Lineage: Eukaryota; Viridiplantae; Streptophyta; Magnoliopsida; Brassicales; Brassicaceae
Description: long non-coding RNA (BRAP_LNC003934)
Source: RNAcentral
CAAAUCCGGUUCUUGCAAGGAUUCAGGGAUCAGAUGCUGAGAGUAGUGAAGGGCUUCUCAAUGUCUAGACAUAAUGGUUUGUUCAUAAACUCAUGUUUCGCUCACUGCCAAACCGAGAGGCAGGACACUUGGUUCGCUGAUGAUUCUCCUGUCAUAAGAAAAAAGGUUAGUAGUAAGCUCAAAUUUUAUCCCAACACAAACAGAAGCAAAAGGCUGUUAUUGACUUUGUAUAAUGGCAUCAUGCAGGCUGUGGCUAUAGCUGUGGGAGAUUGGUAUUUUGAUAGAGCAGAAGUGAAGUUAAUUGAUUGUCCUUACCCUUGUGACAAGAGCUGCCACAACUUGGUGUUCAGAUGAUUUAUCUACUUGAUUCUUCCUCAUAUACAUACUUAGAAAGCUUAGCUUCUCUCAAAUGGAGAAGCUUACUAUUUUACCAAUGACUCAUUGGAAGAAAAUGUAUGAUUAAUUUGGAAAAACCAUAAUAAACUCCAAAAAAAAUACAUAAGUUGGCUCAUAAGAGUUCAAAAUGUAAUCACAGAGCAAUGAUUCUUCUUUCCUUUGUUUUUUUCUCCUCUACUUGCCACUACAAGUAGUUGAUAAAUGUCAACAUAUUGGUCCCACACAAAGAAUUUGAUUUCACAAGUAUCCAAGAAAUGCAGGUAAUGGAUAAGAAUAAAAAAAGCAAUAAAAUAGUAAAAAGGGAUAAAAGAAAGUGAAAAAAAGAAGAAUAUUACAGAGUGGUGUUGAUGAUAUACUUUGACACCCUGGUAUUAGGGUGAGUGACAGCUAUCUAGUGUUCCCCACUUUGUAUGUGUUUU